AGAAAGCAUCCGCGUCGCCUCCUCCCAAAACCCAAAUCGAACUCGCGGCGAUCUCUCGUCUUCCGAAGCCAACAGUCCUCUCGCUCUCGCGCCCCCGCCACAGUUUGUAGCACGGCUGGCAGCAGCAGGGUGCCUCGCCUCGCCGGGAGCUGGAAACAAGCACUGUAUGAUCUUUUUUCGCCACUGAGCUGUGCCUCCAACGUGUUUGCGUGAAUGCGCAGGCGGACGCGCUUGCUUUCUUCCACGCACUAGAUCUUGUGAAUUUCCCGUCUCCAUCUGAUUUCGAGAUUCGCCGCUGACCAUGGCUGACGCCUCCGCCGGCGGCUCCCUGGACGACUACCCAACCAUCGACCCAACCUCUUUUGACGUGGUCCUCUGCGGCACCGGCCUCCCAGAGUCCAUCCUCGCCGCUGCCUGCGCGGCCGCCGGGAAGACCGUCCUCCACGUCGACCCCAACCCUUUCUACGGCUCCUUCUACUCCUCCAUGCCGCUCCCUUCCGUCCCCUCCUUCCUCUCCCCCGACUCCUCCACCCCCUGCCCAUCCUCCUCAACCACAGCCUCCUCGCCCGCCACCGCUGCAUACACCGCCGUCGAUCUCGAGCGCCGCAGUUUGUACUCGGAGGUUGAGACCUCGGGGACGGUUCCCGAACAGUCCAGGCGUUUCACGGUCGACCUGGUGGGUCCCAGGCUUCUGUACUGCGCCGACGAGGCCGUGGACCUUCUUCUGAGGUCUGGGGGAAGCCACCAUGUGGAGUUCAAGAGCGUGGAAGGGGGCAGCCUCAUCUACUGGGAUGGUGCGCUCUGCCCGGUGCCAGACUCUAGGCAGGCCAUCUUCAUGGACAGCACACAUCGGUCUAAGGAGAAGCUUAAUCUUAGGGAUAAUCUUAAGGAGAAGACCCUCUUGUUCAGAUUCUUCAAGCUUGUCCAGUCACACAUAGCCGCAUCGUCUUCUGCCGAUAAGGAUGGGGAGGGCGAAGCCUCUGGUAAGAUAUCCGAGGAGGACUUGGACCUCCCCUUCAUCGAAUUCCUCAAGAAACAGCAGCUUCAACCCAAGAUUAGAGCGGUUGUGCUAUAUGCAAUAGCUAUGGCAGAUUAUGAUCAAGAUGCUGCAGACUCAUGUGAGAAAUUGCUAACAACGAGAGAUGGAAUCAAGACCCUAGCUCUUUAUUCCUCGUCCAUUGGGAGGUUUGCUAAUGCCCAAGGUGCUUUCAUUUAUCCUAUGUAUGGGCAUGGCGAGCUACCACAAGCUUUCUGUCGCUUUGCUGCUGUUAAGGGUGCCCUAUAUGUGUUGCGGAUGCCAGUCACAGCCCUUCUUGUGGACCAGGAAAAGAAGCGUUAUAUAGGCACCAGAUUGGCUUCUGGUCAGGAUAUUUUGUGCCAGCAGUUGAUACUUGGUCCCUCAUACAAAAUUCCUUCAUUGGACAUGUCUUCUGGUACUUCAGACUCAAACUUGACGAGAAAAGUUGCCAGGGGAGUAUGCAUAAUCAGCAGCUCCAUAAAACAGGCUUCAUCAAACGUUCUGGUUGUUUUCCCCCCAAAAUCAUUACAAGAGCAGCAAGCUACAGCUGUUCGGGCGCUUCAGCUGAGCAGCAAUGUAGCAGUAUGCCCUCCUGGAAUGUUCAUGGUAUAUCUGUCUACUCCCUGUACCGAUGCCUUUACGGGAAAGCAGUACAUAAACAAGGCAAUGGAGGUUCUUUUCAGUACCCAGGCUUCAGAUGAUUCAGAAGGCCAUUUGGAGACAACCAGCAGAAACAUUGAGGAUACAAAGCCAGCGCUAAUCUGGAGUUAUGUGUAUGUUCAAGAGAUCACACAGGGAACAUCUGGUACUGUAUUGUCCUGCCCUAUGCCUGAUGAAAACCUGGACUACAGAGAUAUACUGGAAUCGACAAAACAGUUAUUCACCGAUACUUAUCCUAACGAAGAAUUCCUGCCUAGAAACGCAGCUCCUAAAUAUGCCGAUGAUGACUCUGAUCUUGCAGAGUAGAAACAUGUUUGCAGAGGUUAACAAAAGAAAUGCCGGCAAAGCUCUCGAAAAUGUUUUAAUGGAAAACCAGAAGCUGUUGAAGCAUCUACUUACAUAUGGGCAACAUUCUCUCUGGAAAGACAAUGUACGAUGAUAGAUGGUGCAACAUGGCUUUCUUAUGAGGUUCACUUGCUCCGGUAAUUCCCAGUUUGGAUCGUUCAAGGGUUAGUGUUUUUCUGGACAAAUUCUCGCAGAAGAUACAUGGAGGCAUUUUAGAUACAUCGCACCAACCUGGCUGAUCUGCUCAGCGAGUGGGACUAUAGACAGCAUCGAUUGUUUGUAUGGCUUGUUGCAGUACUUGUUGUUACUGCACAAGCUACAUGUGGCGCCUUUCAUUUGUUGCACUCAUUCUUUGUAUGAGUGAAACAGAUUAGUGAAAUUGAGUUUAAACUCCUUGGAUGAAUUUCUCUUCUGGCUACUAGCAAAUCCAGAAACUAUUUUACCAUGUUAUCACCCGCAAACUAUUUUUAUCGUUUUCUAGCAAACUCCUUUAUGAGUAAAAAAACGUCAAUUGAGGUA
Molecule: RNA transcript, 2542 nt
Organism: Hordeum vulgare subsp. vulgare (domesticated barley)
Lineage: Eukaryota; Viridiplantae; Streptophyta; Magnoliopsida; Poales; Poaceae
Gene name: rab escort protein 1
Exons: 12
Source: RefSeq, a predicted model, not a curated record